UGCCAGCAGCCGCGGUAAUACGUAGGGUGCAAGCGUUGUCCGGAUUUAUUGGGUUUAAAGGGUGCGCAGGCGGUCUAUUAAGUCAGUGGUGAAAUCGUCCUGCUCAACGGGAUACCCGCCAUUGAUACUGGUAGACUUGAGUACAAUAGAGGAAGCUGGAAUGCGUGGUGUAGCGGUGAAAUGCAUAGAGAUCACGCAGAACACCGAUUGCGAAGGCAGGCUUCUAUGUUGUAACUGACGCUGAGGCACGAAAGCGUGGGUAGCGAACAGGAUUAGAUA
Molecule: ribosomal RNA, 279 nt
Filed under: uncultured bacterium
Lineage: Bacteria
Description: partial 16S ribosomal RNA
Rfam family: Bacterial small subunit ribosomal RNA
Source: RNAcentral